UGUAUUUUAUGUCGUAAAAGUGAUAAUGAAGAUCGGUUGUUACUAUGUGAUGCUUGUGAUCGCGGUUGCCAUAUGUACUGCUGCAAGCAAUAUCGUAUACCAAGCCACUGUAAGUUCUGGUGAUCCUCAAUGCAAAGAUAAAGUUUAUUUCGGUAUAAGUGAAACCACAUUUAAAUUAAGAUAUGCCAACCAUCUUAAAUCUUUCAAUGCACCCAAAUAUAAAAAUGACACUGAACUUUCCAAAGAAAUAUGGGAGCUAAAAUCGAAACAUAUAAAUCCUGUGAUUAUAUAGAAGAUAAUAGCACAAUGUAAGCCCUACAAUCAAGCAUCAAAAGUUUGUAAUCUUUGUCUCCGCGAGAAGUUUCACAUAUUAUCAUAUAAAGGAGAAAACUUACUUAAUAAAAGAUAUGAAAUAAUAUCAAAGUGCCGGCA
Non-coding RNA from Hydra vulgaris (swiftwater hydra), 432 nucleotides. The record is from RefSeq and is a predicted model, not a curated record. Lineage: Eukaryota; Metazoa; Cnidaria; Hydrozoa; Anthoathecata; Hydridae.